AGAGGCUUUUGAGUUCAUCGAGUCAAUGCCAAUUGAACCUGACUCAAGCAUCUGGGUCUCAUUGCUGCACGGAUGUAGAAUUCACAGGGAUGUCAAGCUUGCAGAGAAAGUAGCAGACAGGGUCUUCAAGCUGGAACCUGAGAACACAGGGUACUAUGUCCUUCUUUCCAACAUCUAUGCCGAGGCUGAGAGAUGGGAGGCUGUCAAGAAGCUGAAGAACAAGUUUGGUGGUCGGGGGCUACGCGAGAACACUGGCUGCAGUUGGAUUGAGGUCAGGGGCAAGGUUUAUGUCUUCGUCCCGAACAACCGGAAUCACCCACAAGGGAACAGAAUUGCAGAAUUCCUGGAUGAUGUUGCCAGAAGGAUGCGGGAAGAAGGCCAUGAUCCUAAGAAAAACUAUGCUCUGAUGGGUGCGAACAAUGCGGUGCACGACGAGGCACUUUGUGGGCACAGCUCCAAGCUCGCCAUCGCAUUCGGCGUGCUCAAUUUGUCGGAAGGGCGGCCAGUCCGCGUGACAAAGAACUCAAGGGUUUGUAGCCACUGCCAUGAGUCUGCCAAAUUCAUAUCCAAGAUGUGUAAUAGAGAGAUCAUCCUGAGAGAUUCAAGCAGGUUCCAUCAUUUUGAAGAAGGCAGGUGUUCCUGUAGAGGGUACUGCUGAAAGAAAGAUCAGUCAUGUAACUGUAAUUUUGUUUGUUCAUAGCAAAGAGUACAUAUGUUGCUACGCAGCACCACAUGAUCUUUGCAUAUACAGUGAUUUUUCUUUAAAAGAAUUAGAGGUGACAUUUGAAUGCUGUGGGAAGAUUCAUUUGUAAGAACAACAAUUUUGCGUGUACCAGAAUAACCAGUUACAAUCCCUAGAAAUGUAAAGAAAUAAAAAGGGUGAAUACAUUUCAAC
RNAcentral lists this long non-coding RNA (895 nucleotides) under Setaria viridis. Its description in RNAcentral is "long non-coding RNA (SVIR_LNC007481)". The record is from RNAcentral. Lineage: Eukaryota; Viridiplantae; Streptophyta; Magnoliopsida; Poales; Poaceae.